UCAGCCAGCAGGUGAGGAGAAACUUAACAGUAGCACAUGGGGUUAGUGUCCACCACAGUAAUCCCUUGAGCAAAGAGCACAUGAGGCUGGAAAACUCUGAAAGGAAAGUCAGAAUGACCCUAACAGAAAACCUUUCCUGAAGGAAACCACAUCUGUUCAAGCUGGCAUGAGGACUGUUCUCAGGAGGAGCGAGAUGCAAAGUUCAAGGGAACUGCCUGUGAAGACACACGGUGACGGCGCUGGGUUAUAUAAUGUGCCUUGGUGUGAGGAAGCUCUUUGUUCUAUUUACAAAUCCUUGUAUUACUGACAAGGAAACUUUGAUGGCUGCCUUCCAAAGACAACAAUGAAGAAAGAAAGAAAGGUGGGUUUUUCUUUGUCUUGGAGCUCCCAUAAAUCCCCUCCUGUUCUGAAAUGUGACUUUUAAAAUUAUUUUUCUUUUCCCCAUGUGUAAUCCUAUUGCAGGUUUUACAAGUAUAAUUACAAAGCAAUUAAAUGUGGGAGCAGUGAGGAAGACAGCACCAAGGAAUACUGAGCCUAUUUGUUUGAAAACUCCACAGGUGCUGGUUACAGCUUUGAAACACCAAGGUUAUUGUGUCUGAAGAGUAUUGUUUCAUCCACAAAGAGGUCAAAUACCGGAGAACAUUCUUGGAUAUUAUGUGAGAUUUAAGUGAGACUUGUUCCUCAAAGACUACCUUAUAAACCAAUUUAUCUCACACAAAAGUUUCCAAACCCUGAGAAAACUCAGGGUGAGAUUGGAGCUCCAAGGGAGAGGAUAGAGCAGAGGUCGUAAAAUCCAGAGUAAUGCAGAGUUAAGAGAUAGAGAAUGAAUAAUCACUAUUUGGUAUAGCAGAAGAACACUGAUUCUCAUUAAAAAACAAUCACAAUAUUUUUUUUCUCUGCAGAAGAAAGCUCUUAUUAAAUAGACUCCUCUAAGCCAAUCUCUGGCACUCUGCCUCUACUGUUCACUUUUCUGUACUCCUCAGUAAGUAUUUAGGCUAAAUGGUGUAGAGCUGUAAUAUCCUCUGGGAAUAACCCUUGGUACCCAUCACUAAAUCCAUUCUAUAUAUUUCCUGGUGAACAGUUUGGCUGUAGACUAGAUGGUGUUCUUGCUGUUCAGUGAAAAAUUUAUUUAGUAAGAUUUUCAUCAUUAGCUAAGGACAAGUUCCCUUUAAGUUCCUGAGUACUUUGGGUAAAAAGGCAUUUAUUUGGUAAAAGCACAUUAUAAAGAACUACAAGGUAGGGAUAGUCCUUCCAAGUCUUGUUCAAACUCCAUUUCAGGCAUCAGGAGUCCUUUAUCUCAGCUCUCUAUCUAGGAAAAUAUUUACCCAUUAUAAUGACCUAAUCACAGGAAGGGGCCAGGGCCCAAUUUUCUCGUUUGCCUGCCUGUCUCAUCGUGGGGUGAGGCUGGAUGCAGGGUGUGUACCAGUCCCAGAUCCCUGUGCAGAGCCUGCAGUUGGUGCUCAACACCAACAGCGUUAACCAGUGCAAUGCUCUGGGUGCUGGGGACAGAGUCUGAGUGCUCUCAAACACUGCCUGGUGAUAUUCAACUUCUCCAUCAGGGCCUUCCUUCCCUUUGGGCAGCAUGGCCACCUCAUCUAGGAAUCUGUGGAGCAACACUGAUGUGGCUAGAGCAAGGCCAAGUAGGUUGUUGUUCCUACCAAUGCAAAGAAUGAGUGAAAGAUCUUAUCUGAACAAAGUUGGAACCAUUCUGCUUAGGACAAAAGCAGAGCAGGAAAGAACCCAGAUGAAGUCAUGGACAUUCAAAGAGUUGAGCUGCUGUGUUUCCACAGGUGAAGAUGCAAGCUGAUCUCUCUGUAAUAAGAUAGGGUGGGAAAGGUUAUAUAAUUAGGUUGCUUGUUGCUUUAAACCCUCCUUCUCCGUAAUGCUAAAUAAAACAAAUGCUUCAAGGAUAUAGGUCAUUAUCCCUGGUCAGCUGCCCAAAGGGAGGAAACAGAGGUUGGUAAACACCUGACACAUGGGUGUAGAAAGCUUUUGAUUUAAUAGUGGAAAAAAGUGGCAUUUUUCAGUCUGUGUUAGGGAGGGGUGAGAUGUUGAACCGGUAAGAUGGGCCUCCAGAAGUUUUACAAAUGCUGGAACAUUGUGGCUGAAAUGUAGACAGGAUAAUGCAAAUACAAACUGAUUUUUUUUUCCCUCUUUCCCCUGCACUAGGUGUGGGACUAAGAAACAAAAGGUGACACCAAAAUGUCAUCUUUCCUGAUGAUUUGGAGCCAUUUGACUAUCUCUAAAAGCUCUGAGCAGAUCAGGGAGAAAGUCCUCCAAAAUGUUGAGAAGUCCUGUUUUUGUCACAGUAGAGAUGGGAAAGAUUCCAGACUCUCCAAGAUGUUGGCAAAAUGGUGGAAGCUUUUCCAGCUCAGUUCAAGCUGCAACUUUCCCCAAGUCCCACAUCUGUUCUGUUGCAGAGCCACAUACUUAACCCUGGUUUUCUGUAUAGAAAAUUAUGUAAAUAAACCCAUUUGAGUUUGAAACUA
This is a long non-coding RNA of Parus major (Great Tit), 2489 nucleotides long. RefSeq lists it as uncharacterized. The record is from RefSeq and is a predicted model, not a curated record. Lineage: Eukaryota; Metazoa; Chordata; Aves; Passeriformes; Paridae. The transcript has 2 exons.